GAUAGAGGCGCGGGCUUCAAGAGUACCGCUUUCCAACGGCAGAGCACCGGGAAGGCGGGAAAGGGGAGACCGCCGAGGCGUCUUUCCGCUGCCUGGCGGAAGGAGGCCGGGCCGCCGGAGAAUAUCCGUCGGACUGUCACCCCCGCGGUGGAGCGCUGUC
RNAcentral lists this non-coding RNA (160 nucleotides) under uncultured Dysosmobacter sp. Its description in RNAcentral is "Lysine riboswitch". It matches the Rfam family "Lysine riboswitch aptamer". Rfam says of the family: Riboswitches are metabolite binding domains within certain messenger RNAs that serve as precision sensors for their corresponding targets. Allosteric rearrangement of mRNA structure is mediated by ligand binding, and this results in modulation of gene expression. This family includes riboswitches that sense lysine in a number of genes involved in lysine metabolism, including lysC. The record is from RNAcentral. Lineage: Bacteria; Bacillati; Bacillota; Clostridia; Eubacteriales; Oscillospiraceae.